RNAcentral lists this ribosomal RNA (303 nucleotides) under Triticum aestivum (bread wheat). RNAcentral describes it as "partial small subunit ribosomal RNA". Lineage: Eukaryota; Viridiplantae; Streptophyta; Magnoliopsida; Poales; Poaceae. The record is from RNAcentral.
AUGGUCUAUGAUAAAACCGUGGACUGCAUGCAGUGCUUAUGGAAACCUUGCUUGAAGAAUCAUUAUAUCUUUGUCCAUGAAUGGUCUAUGUUUCUCAGACGAAACACUAAACUUGGUGUAAUAUGCUUCCUGGCAAUGUACCUGAAUUCUGAAAUGCAUUUUUGUCGCUGCUCUUAUGACCUGUCUUGGAUUAUUGUGCUUGCUUUCUCCCAUAAGUUGGAGAAGGGGCUGUUUGCCGUUAAAUGUGUUGGAUUCUAUUUGGCAUCAGCUCUAGAAGUCUCUUUACAAACUAAACCAUCAUGA